This 680-nucleotide ribosomal RNA is filed under the name uncultured bacterium. RNAcentral's name for it is "bacterial SSU rRNA". It matches the Rfam family "Bacterial small subunit ribosomal RNA", at positions 9 to 649 of the family's 1533-position model. The record is from RNAcentral.
GAGUUUGAUCCUGGCUCAGGACGAACGCUGGCGGCGUGCCUAAUACAUGCAAGUCGAGCGAGCUUGCCUAGAUGAUUUUAGUGCUUGCACUAAAUGAAACUAGAUACAAGCGAGCGGCGGACGGGUGAGUAACACGUGGGUAACCUGCCCAAGAGACUGGGAUAACACCUGGAAACAGAUGCUAAUACCGGAUAACAACACUAGACGCAUGUCUAGAGUUUGAAAGAUGGUUCUGCUAUCACUCUUGGAUGGACCUGCGGUGCAUUAGCUAGUUGGUAAGGUAACGGCUUACCAAGGCAAUGAUGCAUAGCCGAGUUGAGAGACUGAUCGGCCACAUUGGGACUGAGACACGGCCCAAACUCCUACGGGAGGCAGCAGUAGGGAAUCUUCCACAAUGGACGAAAGUCUGAUGGAGCAACGCCGCGUGAGUGAAGAAGGGUUUCGGCUCGUAAAGCUCUGUUGGUAGUGAAGAAAGAUAGAGGUAGUAACUGGCCUUUAUUUGACGGUAAUUACUUAGAAAGUCACGGCUAACUACGUGCCAGCAGCCGCGGUAAUACGUAGGUGGCAAGCGUUGUCCGGAUUUAUUGGGCGUAAAGCGAGUGCAGGCGGUUCAAUAAGUCUGAUGUGAAAGCCUUCGGCUCAACCGGAGAAUUGCAUCAGAAACUGUUGAACUUGAGUGC